This is an RNA transcript of Drosophila subpulchrella, 4446 nucleotides long. RefSeq lists it as uncharacterized. The transcript is spliced from 2 exons. NCBI's taxonomy places the organism in Eukaryota, Metazoa, Arthropoda, Insecta, Diptera, Drosophilidae. The record is from RefSeq and is a predicted model, not a curated record.
AACUUUAUUUCCAUCACUUGCACAAACACAUAUCAUAAUUCACUUGGCUUUCAGUCACAUACACACACAAAGGCCCAUACCCAACACAUACACACACACACAUUCGGUCUUGCUUAAUCUGCUUUGCCCUAAUCUUCGCGCGCUCUUUGGUUGUGUCGGACUUUUCGCCUUCCUUGCUCCAAUCGCGCAUAGCCUGGCUGAGAAUUUUAGUACGGUGGGACAGUGCGGACAUUCUAUCGCUACCAGCAGCAUUGCAUUGGCAUUUGCUUGUUAGAAAUAAUCUAAAAACGGGAAGUUGCUAGUCACAAUGGGUGGAAGUCGGAAACGUUUUGGCAGAACUCCCUCAGCGGAGGACGACACAAACGAAUUGCUGGAACAGCUUGAGCGGAAUAAGAAUCAUAUAAUUAGAACUGAGGUCACAGUUCGUGGUCAAGUAACUCCCCCUAAUGCGUGCGAAAUGGAAUGUCGUUUAGGUAUUUUAAAUGGAUACAUCGAAAAGGCGUUCGAGUUGCAAGAAACAAUUAGGGGCAAUUAAUAAUGAAUUAGCAUGUAGAGAGGAGUUAGAAGAAUUAUGUGUAUCCGCAAAGGCAUUACUAAUGUCAAAUUGUAACCGGCCCGAAGGAGAAAGAAAUCAUUCUACCUUCGCAAAUAACAGUAGUUUAAAUUCUUCAGCAAGACACAGCAGAAUACUACCACAAAUGAAACUCCCAAAAUUCGACGGCAACUAUGCCGAGUUCAAAAAUUGUAUAGGUUUAUUUAACAGCUUAGUUCACGAUGUCGAAUCUCUAUCAAAUGUUGAAAAGUUUAAUCAUCUGUUAUCCUGUUUGGAGAAGAAAGCCUUAGGAACAGUAAAGGCUUACCAGGGCUUGGUCAGGGUUUAUGAUAAUCCGUGCCUAAUAUACUUUAAAAGUAUCUCUCGAUUGUUUAAAGUCCCAACAAUGCAACCGCCAUCCGCCUCGGCGUUGCGAUCCCUUAUCGACACUGUAACUGCUAUAUAUGAAUCUCUUCUCUCGCUCGACAACGACAAAACCCUCGCCAACGCAAUGAUAAUUCACAUCGUCAUGUCUAGAGUAGAUUCCAAAACGCGGUCGCGAUGGGAAGAGCAACUUACUUACGAUUCUAUUCCGUUAUGGAAAGAUUGCUCAGAGGCGCUUAAUAAACGAUACCAACACUUAGCGGCUGAGGAAUCUACGACAGGCAGAAAAGCUCCCAAACAGGGACAGCUAGGGAACAAGCCCAGAUAUAGCAAAGCGGCAUUAGCAAUUUCCCGACCUGUCGAAGAACUUAAGUCUAAAUGUUGCUUCUGCAAGUCAGACAGCCAUUUCAUUCAGAGUUGUACAUCUUACGCUAAUAUCUCGGUAGAAGCUCUGUUCAAGUUCGCAAAGAAUGCACCACUUUGCAUCAAUUGUCUACGCAGAGGACAUAGUGUCGCAACAUGCCAGUCAUCUCGUUGUCGAAUUUGUACGAAGGCUCAUCACACACUUCUGCAUCGGUAUACCUCAACCUAACAAGUACCGUCGGGCAAUCAAUUGUCGUCGUAUUCGACGCGUCAUGCAAAACCACUUCCCAAAUUUCAUUGAAUGAAAUUCUUUGGUAGGGCCAACAAUUCAGCGUUGCCUGUAUGCCACGCUGCUUAAAUUCCGGUUCCAUAAAUUUGCUAUGUCGGCAGACAUUACUAAAAUGUACAGACAAGUGGUAUUAGAUGAGGCCCAUAGAAAGUUCCAGUUAAUUGUAUGGCGUGAGACCCCGCAAGACCCUCUACAAAUUUAUCGGCUUAACACCGUUACGUAUGGUACGGCAAGUGCUCCCUUCCUUGCAAUACGGUGUUUGAAGCAGCUUAGCGAGAUCUACUCCGAUUCUCUUCCCUUAGCUUCACAGGCUCUAGCAAAUGAUUUUUACGUCGAUGACUUGUUAACAGGGGCCGAUUCCAUCCGUGAGUUAAGGAAAUUGCGAGGGGAAAUCACAGAGAUUUUAGAUUCCGCAGGGUUCGUCUUGGCUAAGUGGGCGUCGAAUUGUACCCCCAACGAACGACAGGUUGCCGAGUCAGAAGUCCUUAUUGGAGAAGACGCCGAUACGAAAACUUUGGGUCUCACUUGGAGUCCAAAACAGGAUACGUUCAAAUUCAACGCCCAGAAUCUACAGCUUGAAGACCCACCCACAAAGCGAUCCAUGCUUUCAUUUCAAAUCUAGGGUAGCACCGAUCAAUAGACUUAGUAUUCCACGACUAGAACUCUGUGCGGCUCACCUCUUAGCGAAGUUAUGGAGUGAUGUGCAAACGCUUAAUCUUUACCGCGUCGAGCAGGUUACUAUGUGGUCGGAUUAUGAAGUUGUUCUCUUUUGGCUGCGCACUCAUCUGUCAAAACUUAAAACAUUCGUCGCAAAUAGGGUUUCGGCUAUUCACGAACUGGCUCCAACUGCAGUCUGGCGACACGUCCCGACUAACUUCAAUCCAGCGGACCUACCCUCUCGAGGGACUACGGUUAAAGAUCUCGAUACGACGCUAUGGUUUGAAGGCCCUUCGUUUUUGUCCAUGGACUCGACUCAUUGGCCAGUUAAUCAGCACUUGGCUGACACGCCCCUCGAAAGCCAACUCGAAAUGAAACCGCCAGUAAUCGCCCAUACGGUUGCUGUUGUCUCAAAUCAUCCGCUGCUACAAGUAGUUGAAAAUUCUUCUUCCUAUGUGAAGGUUGUGAGAAUUACAACAUUUAUCUUUCGUUUUGUUUACGGCAGGGCCUGGAAAUUGUGGAACGACCACGUCCUAUCAGCCACCGAGCUUAGUUUUUCGUGCUCUUAUAUCGCGCAGGCUGUUCAGCGUGAAUCGUUUGCAGACGAAUUCAAUAAAUUAAAGAAAAAUUUUCCAUUACCCAGUUCUUAACAAAAACUUAGCCCAUUUAUCAGCAACGAAACUUUCGGAACCCGUACUUUAACAUUGGUGCGGGUGGGCGGUCGACUAGCGCACGCGGAUCUAGAACCCAGUGCCAAAUUCCCAAUAUUAAUGCCUAAAGGGAAUCGUUUUGUCAUAUUGUACAUCGAGCACCUGCACUAUGCUAAUUGCCAUGCAGGACCACGAGCCCUAGUCGGCCUGCUUCGGCAGACAAUUUGGUUGAUCAAUGCACGACGCGAGUGCAGUGCUGUUGUGCGCCGAUGCACGCACUGUUUCCGGUAUAAGCCACGGUUAAUGUCGCAAAUAAUGGGAAACCUGCCUCUUGACCGUGUCAGAAUCAGUCGACCCUUUAGAAUAAGCGGAGUCGAUCUCUUCGGUCCAAUCCGAGUGUCGCUAGGAGUGCGUGGCAAGGCAGCUUUAAAAAUAUUUGUUGGGCGGCGCGGCCCGCUUGAUCGACUGUACUGCGACAAUGCAACCAAUUUUGUUGGUUCCUCACGGCUGCUUCAGGAGAUGGCCUCUGAUGUCCGCAGCACACUGGGAACGUACGGCGUCCAUCACCAGGUUGAGUUCGUCUUCAUUCCGCCCCGGUCGCCUCAUUUCGGGGGCCUAUGGGAGGCCGCCGUCAAGUCCGCCAAACACCUCUUUUUGAGGGCCGUCGGAAACGCCUUGCUGAAGGAGGACGAAGUCUAGACGAUCCUGGUCGAAGUGGAAGCAGUGCUUAACUCGCGUCCGCAAGUAGCUGACAGCAGCAACCCUAACGAUGGAGAGGCUAUUACUCCAGCCCACUUUCUGGUAGGCACCACGCUCGCUGCUCUACCCCCAGGACCGGCACCUCCUUAUCCGGACGAAGACCUAACUCAUCUACAACGCUGGCAGCUUAUAUCAGCCAUCAAGCGACGGUUUUGGCGAGACUGGUCCCGUGACUACACAGCGGGGCUGCAGCAAAGAGUUAAGUGGACAAAGGAAUCGGCCAACCUUCUACCAGGAACCAUCGUCGUCAUCAAAGAGGACAAUUUACCGCCCCAGAAGUGGCUGCUCGGCAGAGUCCCCGAAGUAACGCACGGAUCGGAUGGCAAGGUGCGCGUUGCUCUAGUAAAAACCAAGCAAGGCGUAUAGAAACGAUCAGUACAUCAUCUGGCACCUCUUCCCAUUAAUUGAAGGCCUACAGCGCUUCAACGCAGGCGAUGUUUGGUCAUCUCACUGUUUGUUUUGUUUUCUAUGGUCGUUGCGAUGCCGACUAUCGAAAGCUGCGAGCAGGGGCGUAGCACAGCUGAUAAUCGCUAAUUAAUUACCCCCUACAAGUCGGCAAGCAACGAUCAUACAACAAAAUACUAGAUUAAAAGUAAUACUAGAUUACCAUAAAAUACUAACUCUAGAUACCAAUGUAAUAGGGAAGAUCUGAAACGAGGGAGUUGGUAACAUGGUUGAAUAGAAAAGCUCUUGAAAUAAACGCACAAUGGCAGAUUUUCAAUUCUGCGGCUAUAUAUAGUAGUUGUCUUCGCACGCUCUCUUGCGCGCUUCGCCACUACGUGUACUGCCGUCCACAGUGAUUAAAACUACAG